RNAcentral lists this long non-coding RNA (583 nucleotides) under Vigna radiata. Its description in RNAcentral is "long non-coding RNA (VRAD_LNC013672)". The record is from RNAcentral. Lineage: Eukaryota; Viridiplantae; Streptophyta; Magnoliopsida; Fabales; Fabaceae.
UGGGAGCUGCUGGACCGUUGCUAUUUGCACCUCUCCAAGCUGCAAGAGCUGAUUUCUUCAAGCACCUGGACGUGGGCUGUCUUUGUGAUUUCUCCAAGCACCUCCCUUGCUGCCUUCUCUGCUGGACGCUACUAAUGAGGGAGUUGCAUGCUUGAUAUUUCUUGGACGAGUGCUGCAUCAUGAGCUGUUGUUGUGGGCCCGUCGCUCUCUUUAACACUGCUGGAAUGCGUGUGCUUGUUGUUGUUGGACCGAGUGAGGGCUGGAUGGGCCGUGGCUAUCCUAUGGAGCUCUCCUGAAGUUGCUGCAGUAUGUUGCACCGUGGUAGCUUUUUCUUUCUACGACCGUGAUGUUGGCCCAAGCUGCAGGACCACCUCUAAUGUGCUUCCAAAGCUGAACGUGAAGGUUGUUGUCUCAACCAGGUGCAGGCCAUGUGUUCCUUCUCGGUGGGUAGCUGCUGGACCAUCUUCCAUGUGCACCCAUCGUUGCCUUCUUAGAUGCAGCAGCAUGGACCUUCUUUUUGCUGCUGGGUUGCACCUCCCACUUGCAUGCUGCUGCCCUUUUAACUUUUUUUUGGUGGUUGCUG